Molecule: ribosomal RNA, 327 nt
Filed under: uncultured Chlorobiota bacterium
Lineage: Bacteria; Pseudomonadati; Chlorobiota
Description: bacterial SSU rRNA
Rfam family: Bacterial small subunit ribosomal RNA
Source: RNAcentral
GACGAACGCUGGCGGCGUGCUUAACACAUGCAAGUCUACGAGAAUAAGGUAGCAAUAUCUUUAGUAAAGUGGCGCACGGGUGAGUAACACGUAAGUAACCUACCUUUAGAUUUGGAAUAACCCCGAGAAAUCGGGGCUAAUACCGAAUGAUGCAGCGGCACCACAUGGUGAUGUUGUUAAAGUCUAUAUGACGUCUAAAGAUGGGCUUGCGUCUGAUUAGCUAGUUGGUGAGGUAAUGGCUCACCAAGGCGACGAUCAGUAGCCGACCUGAGAGGGUGAUCGGCCACAUUGGAACUGAGACACGGUCCAGACUCCUACGGGAGGCUG